This is a non-coding RNA of Pangasius djambal, 74 nucleotides long. The record is from the annotation of a GenBank genome assembly. NCBI's taxonomy places the organism in Eukaryota, Metazoa, Chordata, Actinopteri, Siluriformes, Pangasiidae.
GGUAGUAGCAGCUCAGUGGGUAAGACACUAGAUUUCUACUCAGAAGGUCGUGGGUUCAAAUCCCAGUGCCACCA